AGGAGAGCAACAUAUAGCAGAAAUGUUGACUAUUUUCACCUUUUCUAAAAGUCUGAUCAGGCUAGAGAAUACGGUCUUGUAAGGUCAUGAAAAGUGUCAACACAGACCGGGCAAUGCUGACUUCCUGGACUCCUAUCAUAUCCCUCAAUUGAAACCGCUGACUAAAGAGACUCAGAACUUUCAUCUUCUGGCCACGUCUCAAGCUUCAGGCCGUGUGAUCCUUAGAUGGUCCUCGAACCAUUACAUUUUCCUUUCCUCCACAGAAACUAUCCUUGCACCUUGGGGGUUGAAGCCAGUGCUUCAUAUAUGGAUGGGCUGCAAGAAUGCAGGCAGUUGUGACGCCAUGUACAUGGAUCCCACUUAUCAGUCUGAGGAUGGGGGAACCAACCUGUCAGUGUCCAAAUGUUUUCAGUCUAACACAUGUGUCAGUGGUUCAAUGGCGGCUUUGAAGUGAAUGAAUUUCAUAAUCAAAUAUGAAGCCAGUGGCUGCGUAAGGACAAAUCUUCUAACCCAUUUGCCCUAUAUAGAAAGUGUUGUGCUUGGAG
Molecule: long non-coding RNA, 545 nt
Organism: Caretta caretta (loggerhead turtle)
Lineage: Eukaryota; Metazoa; Chordata; Testudines; Cheloniidae
Source: RefSeq, a predicted model, not a curated record